RNAcentral lists this transfer RNA (74 nucleotides) under Candidatus Gallipaludibacter merdavium. RNAcentral describes it as "tRNA-Arg". It matches the Rfam family "tRNA". From Rfam's summary of the family: Transfer RNA (tRNA) molecules are approximately 80 nucleotides in length. Their secondary structure includes four short double-helical elements and three loops (D, anti-codon, and T loops). The record is from RNAcentral. Lineage: Bacteria; Pseudomonadati; Bacteroidota; Bacteroidia; Bacteroidales.
GGCUCCGUAGCUCAACUGAAUAGAGUACCACACUACGGAUGUGGGGGUUAUGGGUUUGAAUCCCGUCGGAGUCA